UACGUAGGGGGCAAGCGUUGUCCGGAAUUACUGGGCGUAAAGGGUGCGUAGGCGGCCUGAUAAGUCAGAUGUGAAAUACCAGGGCUCAACCUUGGGGGUGCAUUUGAAACUGUUGGGCUUGAGUGCAGGAGAGGAAAGUGGAAUUCCUAGUGUAGCGGUGAAAUGCGUAGAGAUUAGGAGGAACACCAGUGGCGAAGGCGACUUUCUGGACUGUAACUGACGCUGAGGCACGAAAGCGUGGGUAGCGAACAGGAUUAGAUACCCUGGUAGUCCACGCCGUAAACGAUGGAUACUAGGUGUAGGGGGUAUCGACCCCCCCUGUGCCGGAGUUAACGCAAUAAGUAUCCCGCCUGGGGAGUACGGCCGCAAGGUUGAA
This 376-nucleotide ribosomal RNA is filed under the name uncultured bacterium. RNAcentral describes it as "bacterial SSU rRNA". It matches the Rfam family "Bacterial small subunit ribosomal RNA", at positions 524 to 898 of the family's 1533-position model. The record is from RNAcentral.